CCACCUCCUCCCUCAGACUAUGAGCUCCUGGGGUUCUCCACCCACUUCAUGGAGACUCCUCAGCUUCUUAUCCAGGGUUAGGGUCUGCCUCCUGAGUGCCUGGGAGCCUUCCCUGUCUUGAUACUCCUGAAAGUACAGCAUCAGAGUCAGCUCCAGAACUUCUUACGACCCAUAGGAGCCCAUGUAGUCAGAGGAGCCCAGUGUAGUCAGAGGGUCCCAGUGUAGUCAGAGGUCCCAGUGUAGUCAGAGGUCCCGGUGUAGUCAGAGGAGCCCAGUGUAGUGAGAGGGCCCAGUGUAGUGAGAUGGUCCCAGUGUAGUCAGAGGUCCCAGUGUAGUCAGAGGGUCCCAGUGUAGUGAAGCGCCCAGUGUAGUCAGAGGUCCCAGUGUAGUCAGAGGUCCCAGUGUAGUAAGAGGUCCCGGUGUAGUCAGAGGAGCCCAGUGUAGUCAGAGGUCCCAGUGUAGUGAGAGGGUCCCAGUGUAGUCAGAGGUCCCAGUGUAGUCAGAGGUCCCAGUGUAGUCAGAGGCCCCGGUGUAGUCAGAGGGCCCCGUGUAGUCAGAGGUCCCAGUCUAGUCAGAGGUCCCAGUGUAGUUAGAGAACCCAGUGUAGUCAGAGGGCCCUGGUGUAGUCAGAGGUCCCAGUGUAGUCAGAGAACCCCAGUGUAGUCAGAGGGUCCCAGUGUAGUCAGAGGGUCCCAGUCUAGUCAGAGGUCCCAGUGUAGUGAGAGGGUCCCAGUGUAGUCAGAGGGUCCCAGUGUAGUCAGAGGUCCCAGUGUAGUCAGAGGUCCCAGUGUAGUGAGAGGGCCCAGUGUAGUGAGAGGUCCCAGUGUAGUCAGAGGUCCCAGUGUAGUGAGAGGGUCCCAGUGUAGUCAGAGGUCCCAGUGUAGUCAGAGGGUCCCAGUGUAGUCAGAGGGUCCCAGUGUAGUCAGAGGUCCCAGUGUAGUGAGAGGGCCCAGUGUAGUGAGAGGGCCCAGUGUAGUGAGAGGUCCCAGUCUAGUCAGAGGUCCCAGUGUAGUCAUAGGUCCCAGUGUAGUCAGAGGGCCCAGUGUAGUGAGAGGGCCCAGUGUAGUCAGAGGGUCCCAGUC
Non-coding RNA from Oryctolagus cuniculus (rabbit), 1082 nucleotides. NCBI's taxonomy places the organism in Eukaryota, Metazoa, Chordata, Mammalia, Lagomorpha, Leporidae. The record is from RefSeq and is a predicted model, not a curated record.